AAUCUCAGUUCAGACUGCAGGCUGCAACUCGCCUGCACGAAGUCGGAAUUGCUAGUAAUCGUAGGUCAGCAUACUACGGUGAAUACGUUCCCGGGCCUUGUACACACCGCCUGUCAAACCAUGAGAGUUGGCAACACCCGAAGUCGGUAGUCUAACCGCAAGGAGGACGCCGCCGAAGGUGGGGUUGAUGAUUAGGGUUAAGUCGUAACAAGGUACC
RNAcentral lists this ribosomal RNA (217 nucleotides) under uncultured bacterium. Its description in RNAcentral is "partial 16S ribosomal RNA". It matches the Rfam family "Bacterial small subunit ribosomal RNA", at positions 1284 to 1500 of the family's 1533-position model. The record is from RNAcentral.